Cyanistes caeruleus (blue tit) is the source of this 1659-nucleotide long non-coding RNA. Lineage: Eukaryota; Metazoa; Chordata; Aves; Passeriformes; Paridae. The record is from Ensembl.
GACAGUUAUAGGUGUUUACAUGUAUCAUCUGGGGAUGUUACAGCUUUGCGUGCAUUUGGUGGUUUUACUCUGAGCUGUACCACAUAUUCAAAUACUGCAGAGCAAUAACUCCUUCAUCCCUCAAGGCACCCCCCAAAGUAAUCAUAUAAAUAAAAACCCUUGAAACACUGGGGCAAAAAUAACUCUUGACCAAUACCUUCUUGGAAUUUUAUUUGCCAUAUUAUAAUCUAGAGAAGAGGAGUUAAAGCUCACAGCUCUUGUAGCAAAUUUCCCUGUUGUUUUCAAAAUGUAUGGAUGCCUGGAUUCAGGCAAGUUAAGGUCAGUGGGCAAUAACAGCAAAUUUAGGUACAAACAAGAAAAACGAGACCCUGGUAAGAUGUUAGCCAAGCCAUAGCUUAUCAUAAAGCUAAACACAGGUCAGUGAAUUGAAGUAAAAAGCUGCACAUAAUUCUAUUGAUUUUUUGAUGCAUUGUUAAUUUUGUCCACACAGGCAGUGUUUGCUGGCUUGCAAUUAAGACCUAGCAGUAUAAAAAAGAACAAUAACAAGAAAUUGAAUCAGUCAUUUGUUGAAAAUAAGACAAAAGCAACAGUAAGGAGAGAAAGGAAGUAACUUGUGAAAGGUCUUCUUACUGCUUUAUUUUCAACAUUCAUUUAAGCAUUAAUAGUGCUUAAAAUACCAGUCACAAGUCAUGGCUCUGAACAAAAACAAUCAAUGUUUUCUGAUGAUUGAGAGAUUUAUUCUAAAGGCACCAUAGGAAAAGAAAGUCUUGGGGGUUCAGCAGGUUUGAAAUAUUGUACAAGAACUCAGAGUGAAAUUGAUCUAAAACAUGCAGUAAAUGGAUUUACAAGUCUUAUUGACUAUCCUCCUGAGUUGCUGCUUCCAAAAAGCUCUGAACUGCAAGUCUGUAAUAAAGGUUUUCCUUUCAGAUAUUCAGCCUGCACAAUCUGCUGGCUUUCAGCAUCAAUACAGGCUUUUAUUUUUACUAGAAGAAUGCAAGAGGCAGGUUUCUCAACAAAUCAAAGCAAGGAAGAAGAAAUGAAGCUGUGCUGGGAACAUUUUGCAGCAGCAAUCUCUUGUAAACUAAUGAGGGCCUCACUUGGCACCUCAAGGCAACAGGGCAGGAGGCUUGCUGCUGCAUACAGCUGUGCACCUAUUUAAUGCACCACGCUUGUCACACAAGCCCCUGACCUGGGUGCUAACUACCUCUGACCUGCAUGCAGCAGAUGAAUCCCCAGGGAGAUGGGCUUCUUGCUUGGAGCCCACCCUGCUGGCUCAUUGAGCAAAGAGGCAGACAGGACACGCCCACCACCAUCAUCUGGAAGGGAGAUCAUGAUCCUAAAGGGAUGCCCUGGCCCUCCAGGCUGCAGUACAACUUGUAUGUGUGUGGCUCUGAGUGUAUACAGGUGCCGUGAGAUAUGGGUGCCUGGCUUUUUUGGGUGAAGAAAUAUCACUGAAGAAGCAGGUCUCAACAGGCGUCAGGGACUGUCGGUGCCUCUGGGGCACUCCAGCUGAACAUCAGUCCAUGUCUGCAGAAGUAUCAUAGACCAAUACAUAUAAGUCUCUGCAGUGGUUUUGUUCCCAUGUGCCCACAUUGUCCAAAGCCCCUGUGGCAGGUGUUGUAGUGUGACACUGACAUGAGACCUUCCAGGGUAGAUGCC